RNAcentral lists this non-coding RNA (29 nucleotides) under Homo sapiens (human). The record is from RNAcentral. Lineage: Eukaryota; Metazoa; Chordata; Mammalia; Primates; Hominidae.
UAGCUAGCUCGGAAAGCAGUGGGGCUGGU